RNA transcript from Dunckerocampus dactyliophorus (ringed pipefish), 10448 nucleotides. It is a transcript of the gene named SMAD family member 6b, with no coding region annotated. The record is from RefSeq and is a predicted model, not a curated record. Lineage: Eukaryota; Metazoa; Chordata; Actinopteri; Syngnathiformes; Syngnathidae. The transcript is spliced from 10 exons.
GAAAGAAAGCGCGCUGGCUUGCAGUUUGGUUCGGCUCUGAGGAGAGAAGCAGGAAUGCGCCUCGUCCCCGGGAUUGCCCCUCUUCUUUUUCCUCUUGGUGGAUCUGUUGUUGGGAUUCUAAAAAAGAGAGCAAGGAUUUUGAUCUCUCGUACUUUGUUUGGGGAUUUGUACAAAAAGUGCCAAACUAUUCGGAGAUUUUGGAGCUACUUUUGUUUGGAUUUUGUUUCAAAUCUAUCUUCUCAAUGAUGGACUCCACGUCUUGCAUUGGCUCUUAGUUUGUCAUAUAAACAGUCCAGUCAGCAGCUUCUUUCCACUUAAGUCCGCUAAUUUGUUGAAUUGUGCUCGGAAUGUCGCGUUUCGUUGUGUUAUUGUUGUGCGCUUUUGUUGGCGUGUAGACGCAACCAGUGCGUCUUCUGUCUAAUGUUGCCGUUUGGCCACCAGUGUUGGUCAGUUGGCUGUGCAUGCCUUGCACGGCAUUUCACUGACUUAUUCAUGUUGAGUGUGUGUAACUUUGGGACAGCCGAACAAGAGUAACCUCCACCCCCCUCGCCCCCAAUAGAUAGUCAAGUUGUCUAUGUUCAGGACGAAACGCUCAGGUCUUGUGCGGCGACUCUGGAGAAGCCGUUUGAUUCCAGAUAAAGAGGGGGACGAUGGAAAUGGCCAAACUAAUGAGGGGUGCAGGGACGAUCUGUUUGCAAACAACCCGCAGAAGAUUCCCAAAACGGAGUUUAGAUCGAUGACCCCCAGCGGGUCUUUUACAGGUGACCCAGGGGGUGUGUUCAGCAGUGCCCUGGGGGUAGACCAAGAUGGGGGUGCAGGGUGUGUGCAGGACCAAGGGUCUCCUCGCUUCGCGCAAGAUAGUGACUCCAGGACAGUGACCUGCUGCUUAUUUAAAGAGCGGGACCACUCUGAGCUCAGGGGUCCAGAGGCGAUCCCGGAUAGCAGGGACCCUGGGUCGUGCCACUUCACCCUGAGGGGCCUUGGACAGCGGGAUGGUGGUUCUCCUGAGUCCCAGGAGGCAAUGCCUCGCAUGGUGCUGGAGCAAGAACUCAAGUUGGCCACACACACGCUUUUAAAAAAGCUCAAGGAGAAGGCGCUGGAUACUUUACUGGAGGCAGUGGAGUCCAAAGGAGGGCUUCCCAGCGACUGUGUCAUGGUGUCCCGGACUGAGCUGAGGCUGGGUGGCCAUGUGGCGGCCCCACAGCUGCUUGUGUGUAAACUGUACCGCUGGUCAGACCUCCAGCACCCAGCCCAGCUCAAACCGCUCUGUGAGUGUAAGAGCUUUGGGGGGCUGGACAGUCCGACUGUAUGCUGCAAUCCCUAUCACUACAGUCGCCUCUGUGGGCCAGAGUCACCCCCACCUCCAUAUUCAAGGCUUUCCCCGAAUGAAGAACACAAGCCACUGGACCUGUCAGACUCCACAUUGUCUUACACUGAAACAGAGGCGGCCAGCUCACCAAACGUCACACCAGGGGAAUUCUCAGAUGCCAGCAUGUCACCUGAUGCCCCCAAGCAGAGCCACUGGUGCAAUGUGGCAUACUGGGAGCACCGCACACGCGUGGGCCGCCUCUACACAGUGUACGAGCACUCCGUCAGCAUCUUCUACGAUCUACCUCAGGGCACUGGCUUUUGCCUGGGCCAGCUCAACCUGGAGCACCGCAGCAGCACGGUGCAGCGCACACGCGGCAAAAUCGGCUACGGCAUCCUCCUCAGCAAAGAGGCGGACGGCGUGUGGGCAUACAACCGCAGCGAGCACCCCAUCUUUGUCAACUCACCCACUCUGGACAUGCCCAACAGCAGGAGCUUGGUGGUGCGCAAGGUGAUGCCAGGCUUCUCCAUAAAGGUGUUUGACUACGAGCGAUCAUGUCUGCUGCGGCACACAGCCGAGGCCGACCUCCUGGACGGACCCUACGACCCCAACAGCGUGCGUAUCAGCUUUGCUAAGGGCUGGGGGCCCUGCUACUCCAGACAGUUCAUCACAUCCUGCCCAUGUUGGCUGGAGAUCCUCCUCAACAGCCACAGAUAACACGGACCCCCACAGACCAUCCCAAAUAUCAUCUACCUAGAUUUAAUAUAAAGUUUUAUAUAUUAUAUGAAAUAUAUAUAUUAUACUUGUAAAUAAGGAGUCCUUUUUACAAUGUCAUUAUUUAUGUAUGGUGCAAUGUGUAUAUGGACAAGAGGAAAAAAAAUGGAAAAUGCACUUUGGCUUAUAUAUAUAUAUAUAUUAUAUAUAUAAAUAUAUAUAAAAGAAAGAAAAUUUCAAUACCAACUUGAGAAAUUAUACAGCAAAAUUAGGAUGAGCCUGGAUUUGGUGUAUAGUUUUGAUAUACUAUUAAUAUCCAGAUGAAAAGCUAACACCAUUCACACAUUGAUAAUAAAGUAUUCGCAUAAUAAGCUCCUUUGUUUUGGUCUUUAUCAUUAGUGCUUUUGAUGGUUACAAACAUUUUUUUCAUUAAUAAUAGUGGCUCGAUUCAAUUGUUUAGAUAUACACUCACCAGGUACAAUUUUAAGGACGUCUAUAAAAAUUCUGCCUUCCGAAGAUGAUAAUGCUCACUUAUGAGAGGUUUUAAUUUCUUGUGGUUGUAGUUUGCUGUGGUGUACAGGUGCAUCCUACUGAGAGCUGUUUCUAAUAUUUUGCUCACCUUAGCUACAUGUAAGGGACACUAGUGUCAAAUGUAGUUUGACUGUCCCGCAUGUCCUUGGGGUCCUAAGAAGCCAUAGUGAUGAGAUGGUGGCAGUGGAAAGAAAAAAGGCUGCGCACUUUCAAAGGUUCUAAUAUCUCAAUUCAGGAGUGUCUUGAGGUCUCACAAUGGACGUGCAGGGGUGGGGGGCGCAACUGCAGCAACUUGAGACGGCCUCUGUGAUGCUGGAAUGUGCACUUUUUACAAGCCUGCUGGAAUCUUCCAAACUGCUGCCAGAGUGGAUGUGGGUUUUGCCGGCUUCCUUCAUAAUUGCUAGUGUUCGGUUGUCAGAUUGGUGGUGUGUGUGUGUGUGUGUGUGUGUGUGUAGAUGUUUGCCAGCAUUCAGCAAAGGAGGCAUUCACCUCCUCUCGUUCUGCUUUAAUGAGUUCACAACUGAGCAGCUAUGAGGUUUAAUGGACAAGCAUCAAGUUGCGAUAAGCAGUUUCUGAAAAGUUUGUGAAGCGCAAUGUGUUUUUCUUUCAACCUGAUAAUACAAUUUCCAAUUGAAUGUGCUGCUGCGCGCUGCGUCUCGCUCUUUGCCCUCCAUCAAGAGGAUCAGACAGCCUCCUUCCAGGCCUGCUGUCUGUCUGGAGCCAACACUGUGGAGAGGAGUGGCUCCACUCUGCCUCUACUCACUUCCCUACAACUGGGGGCCAUUAUCCUCCUCCUUUGUGUCUCUGUUAUGGGAAAAAAGGGUCCACAUCACCACUGGAGAGGAACUAGCAGACAAUUAUGCUAUACAGGGGUGGGCGAGCAGCUAUAAGAUUCCUAGUGGGCACAUUACACAAGCCACCACAGAGACGAGAAGAGGGGCUUUAAUUAGACAGAGGGAGCCAAGUGACAGUUCAUGAGGAGUCUGUAAGUUUGUGGUAUAGGAGCACUGCAGCUCGGCAUGGCGCACAGAAAGGAAAAAGUCCAUGUAAGCAGCUUUGGGAAUGGUAUUGAUUAGUGCGCCUCAAUCAUUUCCUGUAGAAGUCACCCAAAAAACAAGUUGCCAUUUUGAAGUCGUAUUUAAACAGAUCAAGGGCUAUUAGAAUGGCUCUUUCUUUCUCACAUUAACAAUAAUGAAAAAAUGCAUCAUGUUGUGAUAUCUGUGCUUAAGAUUCAGGGUGCAUGUGAGUGUCUGUGUGUGUGUGUGCACUGCUGCUUUUUAAAGCUCAGAGUUUCCAAAGCCUGUUAUUAGAGUUGUGUGCUGCCAAAGCUUCAGUGCAUUCCUCAGACUGCAGCCUAUCCUGACGCCUAGAAGCCUGCAGCAAAACAUGGAGCUCUUUUACGUUUUUAGUCACUCAAUUAAUCUGUUUCUAUAAAGAAGAUGCUAGUUCACAAUAGACAUAAGCAGUAAUGCUUUUUCUAAGGGCCCAUGAAGGACAGGGGCACUACAAAAUACAAAAACAUAAUUUUAUUUUUUAGUGCUUUUUUUUCCCACGGUGGCACACCUGGACACGAGGAGUCAAAAACCGACAAAAAUGCCAGUUUCUACCGAGGAAAAACAUUGUUUUGUUUGUUUUCUUUGUCAAAAGUUGUAAAGGGCACCCAUACAAUGUCCAUCGACAUAGCUAGCACCUGGACUGGCCCGUGAAUGGCAGCAAUGGGUCCCAAACUGUUGGGAAAAAAAAUGUAAAAUGAAUUUGAAAGCGAAGAAGCUACUUAGCGAUCGUUAACCCGCGGCUCUUCAGCCUCCUUGUUGCGGAGCCCUUUGCCGAGCUUUUUGUUUUUUUAAACACCGAAAUAGGGGAAAUUUGCAUUUUCGAAAAUAUUGUGAAAUAUCCGACUUUCCGCAAGUACAUGAAUGCAUCUAGACUGCGUUCUCACUGCUGAUUGGCUGAACAAGGGACGGGGACGUAGGCUAGCGUAUGCAGUGAUUCUCGCUGGAGACAAAAAAGGUGAGGGAGUUUGGAGUCUGACGCAAGUUACUGCACUGUAAAAUAAAACUAUGUAAUUAAUGAGAGCAUAGCAGUAUGUUUUAUAACUGUACUGCACUUUAGGUAUGUGUUCGGUGCCCGUGACACGCUAAUCGCCGAGGCGGUGACUCCGGGAGAGGCAGAUAGUGUGCUGCGGGGCUGACUGUGCAUUGACCACUUGAGACUACUUGUUCUGAGCGGCACAUCCUUCACUUGUUGGAGAUGACAUCAUGUAGCUACAUCUCGCUACAAAAUGAGUGAGGAGGCUUCAAUUCCAGCCUGGAGAUGAGGUGUCCAGUGAUGAUUCUGCACCAUGAACAUACUGGACAUGCAAACAUGGGGGACGACAUCAUGCCUCACAGGACAUUCUUCACUUUUAUCUGAUCCCUUCUGGCUGUGUCACCUGACCACAGUUCAUCCCCAGUGCACCUGUGAAAGUCACUCAGAACGCUCGCCAUGCUAAGUGUCAACUUUAUGUGACCUCUGUCUACAAAGAACGUCUGUAUGAGAAGGAGAAGAAGAAGAGCAUGUGAUGGCUGUCGGCCAGCUGAGUCGCCAGAUGUGACCAUUGUUUGGACUCAGUCCCGUGUUGUUAGUGUGUCGAGCCGAGCCGGCUACUGGACACACUUGGAGGGAUCUGGGUAGCAGAUGAUGACUCGCAGCGUGAGCGCUAACCUGUGGAUGAUUUAAGAGAUGAAAGUGUAAGGAAAAAGACAACUUUGGUGAGUGGAAGGUUCCAUCAAAGCAAAGGCAUACAAUGGAAAAUGGAUUAGCUGCAGAUGUUUAAUAGUUCCAUUUCAAUAUGAAACUAAUUCAGUAAGAUGUGACAUUUUCUAGUGGUUAGUGGUGUCAUGAUGUCUUCAGGGCAAUCGGUACACUGUCCAUGACAAACUGAUGCAUUGAUGAUGAUGAUGACAUUAAGGAGUCAUGUGACAUUUUAUGCCAAAGAAAGUUGCAUGUGCCAGCACUUUGAUAAAGAAGGUGAGAAGCACUACUGAAUUCAAGAAAGACGUCGUAGCAAAGCAUGAAGGCGGUGUCCAUGUGGCUCUCCCUUCCUCCCCAUCCGCUUUCGCUGUCUUACCCAACAAGCAUUUUCAAUAAAGGUAAAAUUGAUGUUAAUUAAUUAAUGUUCAUUUAUCCAUUCAUUCAUCAUUUAUAUGUAUUUAGCAUUGAUUUACGCAUGCAAAACUGCUCUUAUUCUCUAUAAACUGUGUUUCGUGUUAAUAUUUUGGCAUGUCAGGAAAAGAUUGUUUGGAUUAAGAUUAUUUCUUCUUAUUGAUUUGUGUUUCGUGCAGUUCGGUUUUCGACUGACCCGUUGGGACGGAUUAAUCAUGAAAACCACGCUAACACUGUAAUAACAGUAUUCCAAUAACAUACACCUUUUUAUGUGAACAUGAAGUAUUUUGUGCACUGUUGUACAUAUUGUCAUUAGUUUUAAACACACUUACAUUCAUCUAAAUGUACAGCUUGUAUCUCCCUACAAGAAAGAGUGGAGUUAGGCUGAAAAUUUGCUUUCACAUGGACAGAAAUUUGGGGAAAUGUGUUUUAUAUGCAUCGGGCCCGUGAAUGGGUCGAUAUGUUAUGUUCUUGGCUUUGCAAACUUGGUUGUAUGGUUCUAAUGUUGGCAGAACACAACGAAACAUUCUUGUUCUAUGAAUCUCCAACUUGACAACCAUGUUCUCCCUCAGAAAACCAGCUUGUCCUCUUCUCGCCUCACUUUUCCCUUUUUUCUUUCCAUGCAGUCAUGGAGAGAGAAGGCUGCCUGUUCCCACACUGACUCGUGAAAGCUUGUCCAACACAGGCUCAGCUCAACCUUGUUUGCUUUCCACCUUACGUUACACACGGGGAAACAAAUUGCACUAUUUUGGGACAGUCGAGCGAGUGAAAAUUCCCCACCCUACAAGUUAUGCAAUUUAUACUUGUAAAAAUGUUCCUUAUUUUUUCAUGAAUGGCCAACACUUUCCUGAGGGCCACGUGUGAAAGCUUGUGCUGGCUGGUCAGAGUGAGCGUGCAGCAGCUCUGUGAGGAGGAGUGGAAGUCUUCUGUCAUGGUUAAACACCAGCACCUGGUGCUGAUUAGGGACCAUUUGUUUCUGUCCACGCACAAGGCAACAGCCUCCUCCCUGCAUGAUAAAUGAAUUAGUGCAAGUAAUGUGUAUGGGAGGAUGAAAGGGACAUGUUCAUCAAUGAAAUAAUUUGACACUGGGAUGUUUUGCUUGCUUACCUGCAAUGGAAUUCUUCUCAACAACGAGCCACAUCCAAGACAGAAAACUCCAUUAGUUUGAGUGUACGUUGACACAGCAACAAUUUAGUCAAAACUGUCAAGUUUCACAAUAUAGUCAAAACAAUCCCUGUUCACACGGACCUGCAAAAAACGACGCUGCAUGCCAGGCCAGUGGUUGGUGAUGUCACUUUGCCAAGAAACACUACAAGUAAGGGCAAAGGCUGCUUGUCCUGCUUGUCCUCCUGACUUUUGAAAACCAUUUGUUGGAUUAAAAGAUGAUGUAUGUUUUGACACAGUAGGGGUGCUGUAAAAAUACACUUUUUUGAAGAAGUGUAUAGGGUUUAUACAUAACAUGAAGUGUUGUAGUUGCUGUAGAUAUUGCUGGAAUUAAUUUGUGUGUGUCUGUUGGCAGGCAGCAUCUUUGUAGUUGUGUUGGUAUACUGUUUAAGUCAUUGUACAUGCAACAUACAUCUGUUCAGUCAAAGUAAUUUGUGCAUGCAGCUGAUAUUUAAUUCACUGUAUUGCUCAUAUUGUUCUGAGCAGGCAGAAGCUUAAGUACGUCUCUUUUGUAGUUAUCGGGUUAUUAUCAUACAUCCGCUUUUUGCCAUCACUGCUACUUGUGGAUGAUUAGGAUGUCCACUGAGUUCUUACUCUAACAGUCUAAGAUUUGUUGACGUUGAAGUUUUGUUUGGCUUUUGAGGCAGAACAUGUAGGUCUUUCAGCAUGUUCCAUUCCACCGUAGCCUACUUGUCUUGCACACACACACAUGCACACAUACUCAUUGACGUGCAUAAUAAACCACGUAGCUGCUGAGCGGCCUAAUGCUUGUUCUUUGUCUAAAUAGCCGAGAUAAAGACAGAGAGGAAAGUGGUAAGCAGUAGCCUCUCCUCCCACCCCUCCCGUUCUCCCCAAGGGGAUCGGAUGUUCUCAACCGUUAUAAGCAAGCAAAGCUGGCGGCCGGCAGACCGUCUGGCUCCAGAGCGGUGCGGGCACACAAACACACACACACACACACACAACACCAGACCUUCUGUCAUGAGGUUUGCUUUCACUGAGGUCAGCUAAACGAGCCCAAAGGCCCCCGAACGAGUGCCGUGAGCUCUCUGUCAUCGCACGCACUCAUGACAACACACUUAACUUUAUUUCCUUCCUCAAGGCAACAGUGUCAGUUGUCUUGUUUGUGUUGUCUGUGUCUGUUUGCAUUGUCACUCUGUCCUACACAAAAUGAGAUCACUCAGGCAAGAGACCUUCUCAGUGUUAAUUGGCAUUAUUAUUAUUAUUGUUAUUAUUUACAAUCUAUUUGUUGAUCUCCUGGUUGUUACACUAAGGAGCUGCAAUGGUAUCAUGUACCGGGUCACAGCAUUUGGUACGUAUGUGCACACUGUGCCAGCUCUACCGAAAAAUCCAGCCUUUACAAAGAUCACGUUCAGUUUAAAUGUCACAUAUCUUGUAUAUGUUUUCAUGUUCAUGUUUUCAUGUUUUCCAGCUAAUGUCUUUUCCUGUUUGCCUGCAGUAAGACAAGCGCACUUGUGACAUGUGUGUUUAAAGGCAACGGGAAGAUCAGGACGUCUCUCUUCACUUGAGGUGUUGCCAAGCUGCCUGCCCUUUAGGAGACCAGAGUAACUUUUUUGAGUUGCAGGGGCAGCAGUCUCAGUAGGGAAGCCCUGACUUUCCGGUCUCCGGCCACCAAUUCCACCACUACUGGGAGAACACCAAUGCGUUCCCAGGCCAGCUAUAAGACAUAAUCCCUCCAGCAUGUCCUAGGUCUGCCUGGGGCCUUCUACUGGCUGGGCAUGCCUGGAACACCUCACCAGGGAUGCGUCCAGGAGAUAUCCAGACUAGAUGCCCGAGCCACCUCAAAUGGCUCCUCUCAAUGUGAAGGAGCAACGGCGCUACUCGGGGCCCUUCCUGGAUGGCCGAGCUCCUCACCCUUUCUUUAGGGUGAGUCCAGCCACCCUGAAAGGGCACCCUACGUUCCGGCUGCUUGUAUCCGCGACCUCGUUCUUUCGGUCACGACCCAAAGCUCAUUACCAUAGGUGAGGGUAGGAAUAUUGAUGGACGGGUAAAUUGACAGCUUCCAGCUCAGCUCUCUCAUCACCACGACGGUCCGGUACAGCAACCGCAUUACUGCAGAAGCUGCACCGAUCCGCCUGUCGACCUCGUGCUUCAACCUUCCCUCACUCGUGAACAAGACCCCGAGAUACUUGAACUCCUCCACCUGUGGCAAGACCUCAUUCCCAACGCGGAGGCUUGCAACUAUGGCCUCAGAUUUGGAGAUGUUGAGUCUCAUCCCAGAAGCUUCACACUCAGGCCCUGUCCACACAGGAAUGUUCCUGAGAUUUUUUUUGGCAGGUUGAAAAAAUGUUGCGCCCAUACUGCGCCAGAUUAGUAAACAGUUGCAUCCCAACACCUGUCCGAAAAAUAACAAUAAUAUUAAUAAUAAUAAUAAUAAUAAUACACAAGCACACCUACACGCGGGCGGGACCACGUGACACACCACAAAUCAUAGAAGAAGAAAAAAGUAUGUUGUUUUCUGCUUUUCAAGACUUCAGAGAAGAGGAAUUACUUCGGCGAGUCAUUAUGGAGUGUAAGACAACAAAAUAUGAGGAGAGUGUCGACUGGGGUGAGUCAUGUACGUCGAAAUAUUCUGAUAUUAUGGUGGUUUGUCGUCAAAACUCACUUCUGGUCAUGUGACGUCAUCGGUCUCGUAUUGCCUGUCUACACGGCAAUGACAAGCCGGCGUUCUCAGAUUUUCCUACUCUGGAAGCCGUUUUCAAAAAAUACCGCUUCAAAUCACCCAGAACGCCGUACCCGUCUGGAUGAGAGGCUGAAACUAUAAAAUACGUUGCCGUUUUGACCUGAAAAUGUUUCCGUGUGCAUAGCCCCUCAGUUGCAAACCGAUCCAGUAAACGCUGAAGGUCACAACCUGAUGAGGAUCAGGAGCAGAUCGUCUGCGAAUAGCAGAGACGAGAUACUAAGGACCCCCAACUGGAUCCCCUCGACACCUUGGCUGCGCCUAGACCUGGAAUAGACUUUCCCAGAGAGGAUGAGGAUAGUUAUCUCCCCGUAGUUGGAACACAUCCUCCAGUCAACCUUCUUGAAAAGCGAGACCACCCCGGUUCACCAAUCCAGAGGUACUGUUCCCGACUUCCAUGCAAUGUUGAAGAGACGUGUCAACCAAGACAGUCCUACAACAUCCAGAGCCUUGAGGAAUUCAGGGUGUCAUUCCAAUCCUCAUGGGUUGGGUUGAAUAAAAGCAUUAAGCCCCAUCAGAAUAAUGAAUUCAUACAGAAAAGAUGUACUGUAGUUUAAUUUUGCUAAAAAAAAAUAACUUCCAUAAUCCGGUGGCACUGCUUUAUUCGACCCCUGUGACCUCAGUGUGGAUCAACUAUUCAGCUAAUUAGCUCUUAUUAGAGCAGUAAAUACACAAAAAAUGUGUUUUUCAUAAAAUAAUGUCAUCCAUACUAGGAUAAAGUACAACAAAUAGAAAUGCUUACAGUUUGUCAAAUGCUAAUACUAAUGAGAAGCCAUCAAGACAUGGUAUAAAAAAAGAGGCCUAAGCGCCUCCUGUUCCUGCAGCUCUCUGAAAUAAACAAGUUUUAAUGUUCAGGAGUAAUGCUUAAUUAUCCAUACAUGGCUAUUU